GACGUAGGGCGCGAGCGUUGUUCGGAUUCAUUGGGCGUAAAGGGCGCGUAGGCUGCGGGGUAAGUCGGGUGUGAAAUCUCAGAGCUCAACUCUGAAACUGCACUCGAUACUGCUUUGCUUGAGGACUGGAGAGGAGAUUGGAAUUCACGGUGUAGCAGUGAAAUGCGUAGAUAUCGUGAGGAAGACCAGUGGCGAAGGCGGAUCUCUGGACAGUUCCUGACGCUGAGGCGCGAAGGCCAGGGGAGCAAACGGG
Molecule: ribosomal RNA, 253 nt
Filed under: uncultured bacterium
Lineage: Bacteria
Description: partial 16S ribosomal RNA
Rfam family: Bacterial small subunit ribosomal RNA
Source: RNAcentral